RNAcentral lists this ribosomal RNA (533 nucleotides) under uncultured fungus. RNAcentral's name for it is "eukaryotic LSU rRNA". The stretch from base 193 to 346 matches the Rfam family "5.8S ribosomal RNA". Lineage: Eukaryota; Fungi. The record is from RNAcentral.
UCGUAACAAGGUCUCCGUUGGUGAACCAGCGGAGGGAUCAUUACCGAGUUUACAACUCCCAAACCCCUGUGAACAUACCUAUACGUUGCCUCGGCGGAUCAGCCCGCGCCCCGUAAAAAGGGACGGCCCGCCCGAGGACCCCUAAACUCUGUUUUUAGUGGAACUUCUGAGUAGAACAAACAAAUAAAUCAAAACUUUCAACAACGGAUCUCUUGGUUCUGGCAUCGAUGAAGAACGCAGCAAAAUGCGAUAAGUAAUGUGAAUUGCAGAAUUCAGUGAAUCAUCGAAUCUUUGAACGCACAUUGCGCCCGCCAGUAUUCUGGCGGGCAUGCCUGUUCGAGCGUCAUUUCAACCCUCAAGCUCAGCUUGGUGUUGGGACUCGCGGUAACCCGCGUUCCCCAAAUCGAUUGGCGGUCACGUCGAGCUUCCAUAGCGUAGUAAUCAUACACCUCGUUACUGGUAAUCGUCGCGGCCACGCCGUAAAACCCCAACUUCUGAAUGUUGACCUCGGAUCAGGUAGGAAUACCCGCUGA